GGAGAGGUAUCGAAGCGGUCAUAACGAGGCGGUCUUGAAAACCGUUUGCCUUCACGGGCGCGUGGGUUCGAAUCCCACCCUCUCCG
Molecule: transfer RNA, 86 nt
Filed under: Lachnospiraceae bacterium
Lineage: Bacteria; Bacillati; Bacillota; Clostridia; Lachnospirales; Lachnospiraceae
Also listed under: 1 other name
Description: tRNA-Ser
Rfam family: tRNA
About the family: Transfer RNA (tRNA) molecules are approximately 80 nucleotides in length. Their secondary structure includes four short double-helical elements and three loops (D, anti-codon, and T loops).
Source: RNAcentral